GGAUGUGAGGGCGAUCUGGCUGCCACAUCUGUCACCCCAUUGAUCGCCAGGGUUGACUGGGCUGAUCUGGCUGGCUAGGCGGGUGUCCCCUCCCUCCCUCACCGCUCCAUGUGCGUCCCUCCCGAAGCUGUGCGCUUGGUCGGUCGAAGAGGACGACCACCCCCGAUACAGGAGGACAGUUUCCUCAGUCAAGGGUAUCCGAGUAGCUGCGCUCCCCUGCUAGAACCUCCAAACAAGCUCUCAAGGAUGUUGAGGAAAGUAAAAAUGAAGCUGGUCUGGUGGCACACACCCAUAAUCCCAGAAUUU
Non-coding RNA from Heterocephalus glaber (naked mole-rat), 306 nucleotides. The record is from Rfam. Lineage: Eukaryota; Metazoa; Chordata; Mammalia; Rodentia; Bathyergidae.